UGUGCACGACUUCACGUGGUUCUGUGGUGGAGUUGUGGUGGCUGUGUUUACGGCACGUGGUGAGCGAGCAGGUAUACAAAUUCACUUCCCUGCCGCUGUCGCUUACGAGCACCUUCAAAGCUUCUGCUGAUCUGAGUUGUGCCCGUCAAGAUAUAGGCCAUCUCUGCACCUUUGACAACAAUUAGCCGCAAGUGCUGAUUGCUGCUGGUUGGCUCAGUCCAGAAACAGGCCUCACAAAUGCGAUGAGCCUAGCUGAAAGCAUCACUGCCAAAAGGGUACGCCACGCCCCUUCAAUGGUUGUUGGUCAGGUAGAGGUUGGCAUGCAGCACAGCUUGCCUCUGGCUGACAAAUCUGUUGGCUGUUCGUUGAAACCAGGGAGCGAGUCUAGGAGCGUGCAGACUACGGAGGCUGUGGAACAGUUAAGCUCCA
This 429-nucleotide long non-coding RNA is filed under the name Dermacentor andersoni. Its description in RNAcentral is "uncharacterized LOC126527951". The record is from RNAcentral. Lineage: Eukaryota; Metazoa; Arthropoda; Arachnida; Ixodida; Ixodidae.